RNAcentral lists this ribosomal RNA (378 nucleotides) under uncultured organism. RNAcentral describes it as "partial 16S ribosomal RNA". It matches the Rfam family "Bacterial small subunit ribosomal RNA", at positions 527 to 896 of the family's 1533-position model. The record is from RNAcentral.
GUAGGGGGCGAACGUUUGUCCGGAUUUAUUGGGCGUAAAGGGCUCGUAGGCGGCUUAGCAAGUCGACCGUGAAAACCCAGGGCUCAACCCUGGGACGCCGGUCGAAACUGCUAUGGCUAGGGUCCGGUAGAGGUGAGUGGAAUUCUCGGUGUAGCGGUGAAAUGCGCAGAUAUCGAGAGGAACACCAUUAGCGAAGGCGGCUCACUGGGCCGGUACCGACGCUGAGGAGCGAAAGCGUGGGGAGCAAACAGGAUUAGAUACCCUGGGUAGUCCACGCCGUAAACGUUGAACACUAGGUGUGGCGGACUUAUCCCACGUCCCGCCGUGCCGCAGCUAACGCAUUAAGUGUUCCGCCUGGGGAGUACGGCCGCAAGGCUG